AUUGAACGCUGGCGGCAUGCUUUACACAUGCAAGUCGAACGGUAACAGGCCUUCGGGUGCUGACGAGUGGCGAACGGGUGAGUAAUGCAUCGGAACGUACCCAGAGGUGGGGGAUAACGCAGCGAAAGCUGUGCUAAUACCGCAUGUGAUCUGAGGAUGAAAGCGGGGGACCGAGCAGCAAUGUUUGGCCUCGCGCCUUUGGAGCGGCCGAUGUCGGAUUAGCUAGUUGGUGGGGUAAAGGCCUACCAAGGCGACGAUCCGUAGCUGGUCUGAGAGGACGACCAGCCACACUGGGACUGAGACACGGCACAGACUCCUACGGGAGGCAGCAGUGGGGAAUUUUGGACAAAGGGCGCAAGCCUGAUCCAGCAAUGCCGCGUGCGGGAAGAAGGCCUUCGGGUUGUAAACCGCUUUUGGCAGGAACGAAACGGUGUCCGCUAAUACCGGGCGCUAAUGACGGUACCUGCAGAAUAAGCACCGGCUAACUACGUG
Molecule: ribosomal RNA, 492 nt
Filed under: uncultured bacterium
Lineage: Bacteria
Description: partial 16S ribosomal RNA
Rfam family: Bacterial small subunit ribosomal RNA
Source: RNAcentral